GACGAACGCUGGCGGCGCGCCUAACACAUGCAAGUCGAACGGAGCUGAGAGAAGCUUGCUUUUCUUAGCUUAGUGGCGAACGGGUGAGUAACGCGUGAGUAACCUGCCCUGGAGUGGGGGACAACAGUUGGAAACGACUGCUAAUACCGCAUAAGCCCACGAUCCGGCAUCGGAUUGAGGGAAAAGGAUUUAUUCGCUUCAGGAUGGACUCGCGUCCAAUUAGCUAGUUGGUGAGGUAACGGCCCACCAAGGCGACGAUUGGUAGCCGGACUGAGAGGUUGAACGGCCACAUUGGGACUGAGACACGGCCCAGACUCCUACGGGAGGCAGCAGUGGGGGAUAUUGCACAAUGGGGGAAACACUGAUGCAGCGACGCCGCGUGGAGGAAGAAGGUUUUCGGAUUGUAAACUCCUGUCGUUAGGGACGAUAAUGACGGUACCUAACAAGAAAGCACCGGCUAACUACGUG
This 468-nucleotide ribosomal RNA is filed under the name uncultured bacterium. RNAcentral describes it as "partial 16S ribosomal RNA". It matches the Rfam family "Bacterial small subunit ribosomal RNA", at positions 28 to 507 of the family's 1533-position model. The record is from RNAcentral.